RNAcentral lists this ribosomal RNA (395 nucleotides) under uncultured bacterium. RNAcentral's name for it is "bacterial SSU rRNA". It matches the Rfam family "Bacterial small subunit ribosomal RNA", at positions 505 to 898 of the family's 1533-position model. The record is from RNAcentral.
GUGCCAGCAGCCGCGGUAAUACGUAGGAUGCAAGCGUUGUCCGGAAUUACUGGGCGUAAAGAGCGCGCAGGCGGCGCUUUAAGUUAGGCGUGAAAUCUCCCGGCUUAACUGGGAUAGGUCGUCUAAGACUGGAGUGCUUGAGGGCAGAAGAGGAAAGUGGAAUUCCCGGUGUAGUGGUGAAAUGCGUAGAUAUCGGGAGGAACACCAGUGGCGAAGGCGGCUUUCUGGUCUGCCCCUGACGCUGAGGCGCGAAGGCUGGGGGAGCGAACGGGAUUAGAUACCCCGGUAGUCCUAGCAGUAAACUAUGGAUACUAGGUGUUCGUGGCAUUGACCCCACGAGUGCCGAAGCUAACGCGUUAAGUAUCCCGCCUGGGGAGUACGGCCGCAAGGCUAAA